GACAGAGGGUGCAAACGUUGUUCGGAAUCACUGGGCUUAAAGCGCGUGUAGGCGGGCCGGCACGUCGGUCGCUGAAAGCCCCCGGCUCAACCGGGGAAGCGGCGCCGAUACGACCGGCCUGGAGGGGGGUAGGGGGAGCCGGAACUCACGGUGGAGCGGUGAAAUGCGUUGAGAUCGUGAGGAACGCCCGUGGCGAAAGCGGGCUCCUGGGCCCCGCCUGACGCUGAGACGCGAAAGCCAGGGGAGCGAACAGG
RNAcentral lists this ribosomal RNA (254 nucleotides) under uncultured bacterium. RNAcentral describes it as "partial 16S ribosomal RNA". It matches the Rfam family "Bacterial small subunit ribosomal RNA", at positions 524 to 776 of the family's 1533-position model. The record is from RNAcentral.